CAAUAGCGUAUAUUAAAGUUGUUGCGGUUAAAAAGCUCGUAGUUGGAUUUCUGUUGGGAACGACCGGUCCGCCCAUUGGGUGUGUAUCUGGCUUGUUCUCGGCAUCUUCUUGGUGAACGUUGCUGCACUUGACUGUGUGGAGCGCUACCCAGGACUUUUACUUUGAGGAAAUUAGAGUGUUUCAAGCAGGCAUAUGCCUUGAAUACAUUAGCAUGGAAUAAUAAGAUAGGACCUCGGUUCUAUUUUGUUGGUUUCUAGAGCUGAGGUAAUGAUUAAUAGGGAUAGUUGGGGGCAUUCGUAUUUAACUGUCAGAGGUGAAAUUCUUGGAUUUGUUAAAAACGGACUACUGCGAAAGCAUUUGCCAAGGAUGUUUUCAUUGA
This 380-nucleotide ribosomal RNA is filed under the name uncultured eukaryote. RNAcentral describes it as "partial 18S ribosomal RNA". It matches the Rfam family "Eukaryotic small subunit ribosomal RNA", at positions 592 to 976 of the family's 1831-position model. The record is from RNAcentral.